UUUAGGAAUAACACCAUUGUUUGUAUCCUGAGAGAGAUAUUGAAACACACCUUAAGGACUCUGAAAGCAUAGGGAACAAAACCAAAAAUGGAAAAAUAGGAAUGCAUCAAACCAAAAAGCUUCUGGGCUGCCAAAGGAACAAGUAAUAGUGAGGCAACAAUCCACAGACAAGGAGAAUAUACAGCAUUAUUCACAAUAGCCAAGAUACAGAAUCAACCCCAUGGAUGAAGGGAUAAAGAAGACAUGGUACAUACGUGCAAUGGAAUAUUUCUUGACUUUAAUUUAGGAGAAGGAGAUUCUGUCAUUUGUGAAAACAAGAAUGAAUCUGGAGGACAUUAUGCUUGUAAAAUAAAACUGACACAGAAAGACAAAUACCAUACGAGCUCACUAAUGUGUGGAAUCUAAAAAAAAGUCUCACUUGCAGAAGUAGAGAUUUGACUCCCGGUCACUAGAGGCUGGGGGUUGCAAUGGCAAAUGGAGAAAUGUUGAUCAAAGGGUACAAAGUUUCAGUGGGAUAGGAGGAAGGAGUUUUGAAGAUCUAUUGCACAACAUUGUGAGCAUGGUUAAUAAUAAUUUAGUGUGUAUUUAAGAAUUGCUAAAUGAGUGGAUUUUAAAUGUUCUCACUACAAAAAAAUAAAUAUGUGAGGUGAUGUAUAUGUUAAUUAGUGUGAUGAAACUAUCUACAAUGUAUACCUAUAUCAGAAUAAUGUGCUAUAUAUCCCCAAAUACAUAAUUGUUAUUUGCCAAUUAAAUAUGAAAAAUUCUGAAUAAAGAAAAGCACUUUAGGUGUCAAAGAAGUUGAAA
Molecule: long non-coding RNA, 804 nt
Organism: Marmota monax (woodchuck)
Lineage: Eukaryota; Metazoa; Chordata; Mammalia; Rodentia; Sciuridae
Exons: 3
Source: RefSeq, a predicted model, not a curated record